Molecule: long non-coding RNA, 281 nt
Organism: Hyla sarda
Lineage: Eukaryota; Metazoa; Chordata; Amphibia; Anura; Hylidae
Exons: 3
Source: RefSeq, a predicted model, not a curated record
CAAGAAGAUGAUCACCGAGUGGCAUGAAGUGCCUUUUGAUGCACAUAGGAUGCACCUCCCUUUUGAAGGGAGCUACCAUUGUGUUAUUCUACACAAUCGGCCUGCCGAAGUUCUGCUCCCCUGCAUAUAUGUUUUAUAUAUGAAAUAAAGAAGAUAUUUGACUGAAGCAAAAGACCGGAUCCGUGUAUCCUGUGGACUACUUUGGACUCGGUGGAUUAUGUCGAUGACCAGCAUUUUAUUUUUUUUUUUUUUGUUUAAUGUUAGUAAAAUGGUUGUGGGGG